GACGAACGCUGGCGGCGUGCUUAACACAUGCAAGUCGAGCGGUAAGGCCCUUUCGGGGGUACACGAGCGGCGAACGGGUGAGUAACACGUGGGUGACCUGCCCUCAGCUCUGGGAUAAGCCUGGGAAACCGGGUCUAACACCGGAUAUGACUCCAUGACGCAUGUUGUGGGGUGGAAAGCCUUGUGCGGCUGAGGAUGGGCCCGCGGCCUAUCAGCUUGUUGGUGGGGUGAUGGCCUACCAAGGCGACGACGGGUAGCCGGCCUGAGAGGGCGACCGGCCACACUGGGACUGAGACACGGCCCAGACUCCUACGGGAGGCAGCAGGUGGGGAAUCUUGCGCAAUGGGCGAAAGCCUGACGCAGCGACGCCGCGUGA
This 376-nucleotide ribosomal RNA is filed under the name uncultured bacterium. RNAcentral describes it as "bacterial SSU rRNA". It matches the Rfam family "Bacterial small subunit ribosomal RNA", at positions 28 to 404 of the family's 1533-position model. The record is from RNAcentral.